GGCCAGACUCCUACGGGAGGCAGCAGUGAGGAAUAUUGGUCAAUGGCCGAGAGGCUGAACCAGCCAAGUCGCGUGAGGGAAGACGGCCCUACGGGUUGUAAACCUCUUUUGUCGGGGAGCAAAGAGAGUCACGUGUGACUCAUUGAGAGUACCCGAAGAAAAAGCAUCGGCUAACUCCGUGCCAGCAGCCGCGGUAAUACGGAGGAUGCGAGCGUUAUCCGGAUUUAUUGGGUUUAAAGGGUGCGCAGGCGGAUUUUUAAGUCAGCGGUCAAAUCGUGGGGCUCAACCCCAUCCAGCCGUUGAAACUGGGGAUCUAGAGUGUGCGAGAGGUAUGCGGAAUGCGUGGUGUAGCGGUGAAAUGCAUAGAUAUCACGCAGAACCCCGAUUGCGAAGGCAGCAUACCGGUGCACAACUGACGCUCAGGCACGAAAGCGUGGGUAUCGAACAGGAUUAGAUACCCGAG
This 463-nucleotide ribosomal RNA is filed under the name uncultured bacterium. RNAcentral's name for it is "bacterial SSU rRNA". It matches the Rfam family "Bacterial small subunit ribosomal RNA", at positions 329 to 790 of the family's 1533-position model. The record is from RNAcentral.